This 429-nucleotide ribosomal RNA is filed under the name Actinomycetes bacterium. RNAcentral describes it as "Actinobacteria bacterium partial 16S ribosomal RNA". It matches the Rfam family "Bacterial small subunit ribosomal RNA", at positions 355 to 776 of the family's 1533-position model. The record is from RNAcentral. Lineage: Bacteria; Bacillati; Actinomycetota; Actinomycetes.
UAGGGAAUCUUCCGCAAUGGGCGAAAGCCUGACGGAGCAACGCCGCGUGAGUGAUGAAGGUCUUCGGAUCGUAAAACUCUGUUAUUAGGGAAGAACAAAUGUGUAAGUAACUAUGCACGUCUUGACGGUACCUAAUCAGAAAGCCACGGCUAACUACGUGCCAGCAGCCGCGGUAAUACGUAGGUGGCAAGCGUUAUCCGGAAUUAUUGGGCGUAAAGCGCGCGUAGGCGGUUUUUUAAGUCUGAUGUGAAAGCCCACGGCUCAAACGUGGAGGGUCAUUGGAAACUGGAAAACUUGAGUGCAGAAGAGUAAAGUGGAAUUCCAUUUGUAGCGGUGAAAUGCGCAGAGAUAUGGAGGAACACCAGUGGCGAAGGCGACUUUCUGGUCUGUAACUGACGCUGAUGUGCGAAAGCGUGGGGAUCAAACAGG